UCAUAGAUCCAUCAUCAUUCAAAGAGGUUAAGGAAAUAUUUUUGUAUUUUUUGAAUAUUAGAAACUAUUUAAAAUGAAUUAAAAAUAACCAGAAAAGAAAAAAUUCACAAAAAAAAUCAAAUGACAAAAAAAAUAUUAAAAAUCAUUUUCAUAAACAAGAAUUAAAAAGGGAAAUAAUGCAAUUGGUCCCAUAUUUUUUGGAUAAAAAAUGAAAGAGAUAUGAAUUUUUGAAAUAAAAGGAAAUAAAAGAAAAUAAAAA
RNAcentral lists this long non-coding RNA (259 nucleotides) under Lathyrus oleraceus (garden pea). Its description in RNAcentral is "Pisum sativum (pea) long non-coding RNA (PSAT_LNC005527)". The record is from RNAcentral. Lineage: Eukaryota; Viridiplantae; Streptophyta; Magnoliopsida; Fabales; Fabaceae.